This is a long non-coding RNA of Oreochromis aureus, 1853 nucleotides long. RefSeq lists it as uncharacterized. Lineage: Eukaryota; Metazoa; Chordata; Actinopteri; Cichliformes; Cichlidae. The record is from RefSeq and is a predicted model, not a curated record. The transcript has 6 exons.
ACUGCCUCUUCCACACUUCAUUGCCUAGACUCUGUGUCUAUCAUGGUUCUGGCAGGCGUAAGUUUGUUUUCCUCUUUCUCUGUCUGUCAUCUUUGAGAUGGAAUAGUGGGCUGGCUCUGCAGGCAGGCUUUCCAGUUUUUCAGUGCUGGCCAUUGCUCCUCUAUUUCACCAACUCACACCGAGCUGUCAGCAACAGGUUCUCUGAGCAGAAACGUUAGCAAACUUAAAAUGUCUCCUGAAAACGGCAGCUCUCCGUGGAUACUAAAACUUUGAGAGCGUGGGUGGGAAACCGUCCAGAAGUGGUGGCUCAUCAUUUGCGACCUCUCGAAAACUCAGAAGUUGAUGUUUUUGAACCGUAGCGGUGAGUGAGAGGAAGGACGCUAGCAUCAACUAGCUAGCCGGUCGUCACGGCAACGCUACAAGAGCGUCUCUCAGCAUGGGCCCGAAAAAAGUUCUGUCAGCUGAGGAAGGUGACGAUAUUAAGAAGUCGCUGGAGUUUAUGACAGAGGAGAUUUCUACUGUCAAACUGCAGCAGAAAGCCAUCCUGGACCUGGUCGAGGAAGUUAAGGCUCUCCGCAUCCAGAACGCCGAGAAGGAUCGGCGGCUGGCGUACCUGGAGAACAGAGUGGCGGAUUUGGAGUAGUACACCCGGAUGAACGAUGUUAUCAUCACGGGGCUUCGCAUCAAACCUCGGUCAUACGCCCGGGCGGUCGCCGCUGUCAAUGUAGGAGGGCCAGGAGAGGAAGAUGUCAACUCCACGGAGCAUCAAGUGGUCACCUUUCUACGGUCCAAAGGUGUGGAAGUGGAUUAUAACAACAUUGAGGCUUGCCACCCUCUACCCCGAAAAAAUGACAGUGACAAACCAGCCAUCAUUGUGAGAUUUGCAAACAGAAAACACAAAACAGCACUGUUAAAACAAGGAAAGAAACUGAAAGGAUCCGAUGUCUUCAUGAAUGAACAUCUGAUAAAAAGAAAUGCGGACAUUGCCAGGAAAGCACGUUACUUGAAGAAACAGGGAAAAAUUCAAAAUACAUGGACCACCAACUGCAAAGUAUUCGUUAAACUCAAUGGAACACCGGAACAAGCCAAAGUGUUGGUCAUCAGAAAUAUGGAGGAGCUGGACAAAUACUGAGGUUCAACUUACUCUGGAGAUGGCAGGGAAUUCCUCUUGAACAUCAUUGCCUUGUGGAGGGUUUAAGAAACAUUCCUGCAAACUCAGCUCACCUGCACUCUCAAGCCAGUCACCGCCUCCCAAGGGAAAGUUAUCCAUCAGUUUCUUAGCUGUCUUCUCAUUCACCACUGCUCAACUCUCUUGGGAUUCCUUUGUCCUGUCUGCUUCCCUCCCCACAGCCUGCUAAGGAAAGACAAACAAGCAGCCAAAGAAACCAAGUUUCCAAACUACUUCAGCCAGCUCUAACUUGUCUACUCCUCUUUGGCAGAAAUCCCCACAAAGCUUUAGUAGCAUAUCUGCACCAAUGCUGCACCACUUCCACUGGGCACACCUUGAUCUUCCAGCCUCUGUCCUCCACCUCAGCUGCCAAGUUUGCAUACCGCAGCUUCUUAUGCUCAAAUGCUUCCUCAGUUGCAUCCUUCCACGGUACCAUCAGCUCAAACAACCAGAUGUCUGAACUAUAAAGCUGGAUUUAACCUUAUCCAGGUUUGUGGGUGGUUGGAGCCAGUCACAGCUGUCAUAGAGCGAAAGACAGGGCACAGCUUGAAUUCUCUAAGUGGGCAUCCCCUUUCAUUUAAAUCAUCCCAGCCAGCCAGCCUUCCAUCUCUUAUCUGGGUCCAGGACAUUGGGACAGCAGUCUAAGCAGAUGUGCAUGUCUUUAUCCUGUUUCCUUCUCUCACCC